GCCAGGCAUGGUGGCUCAUGCCUGUAAUCCUAACACUUGGGAGGCCGAGGUGGGUGGAUUGCCUGAGCUCAGGAGUUCAAGACCAGCCUGGGCAACAUGGUGAAAUCCCAUCUCUA
Molecule: unclassified non-coding RNA, 116 nt
Organism: Papio anubis (olive baboon)
Lineage: Eukaryota; Metazoa; Chordata; Mammalia; Primates; Cercopithecidae
Rfam family: Metazoan signal recognition particle RNA
About the family: The signal recognition particle (SRP) is a universally conserved ribonucleoprotein. It is involved in the co-translational targeting of proteins to membranes.
Source: Ensembl